This 497-nucleotide ribosomal RNA is filed under the name uncultured bacterium. RNAcentral describes it as "partial 16S ribosomal RNA". It matches the Rfam family "Bacterial small subunit ribosomal RNA", at positions 28 to 507 of the family's 1533-position model. The record is from RNAcentral.
GAUGAACGCUGGCGGCGUGCCUAAUACAUGCAAGUCGAGCGAACAGACGAGGAGCUUGCUCCUUUGACGUUAGCGGCGGACGGGUGAGUAACACGUGGGUAACCUACCUAUAAGACUGGGAUAACUUCGGGAAACCGGAGCUAAUACCGGAUAAUAUUUCGAACCGCAUGGUUCGAUAGUGAAAGAUGGCUUUGCUAUCACUUAUAGAUGGACCUGCGCCGUAUUAGCUAGUUGGUAAGGUAACGGCUUACCAAGGCAACGAUACGUAGCCGACCUGAGAGGGUGAUCGGCCACACUGGAACUGAGACACGGUCCAGACUCCUACGGGAGGCAGCAGUAGGGAAUCUUCCGCAAUGGGGGAAAGCCUGACGGAGCAACGCCGCGUGAGUGAUGAAGGUCUUCGGAUCGUAAAACUCUGUUAUUAGGGAAGAACAAACGUGUAAGUAACUGUGCACGUCUUGACGGUACCUAAUCAGAAAGCCACGGCUAACUACGUG